ACGGAAGGCAGCAGUGGGGAAUAUUGGACAAUGGGGGAAACCCUGAUCCAGCGACGCCGCGUGAGUGAAGAAGUAUUUCGGUAUGUAAAGCUCUAUCAGCAAGGAAGAAAAUGACGGUACUUGACUAAGAAGCUCCGGCUAAAUACGUGCCAGCAGCCGCGGUAAUACGUAUGGAGCAAGCGUUAUCCGGAUUUACUGGGUGUAAAGGGAGCGUAGACGGUAAAGCAAGUCUGAAGUGAAAUCCCGGGGCUCAACCCCGGAACUGCUUUGGAAACUGUUUAACUAGAUUGCAGGAGAGGUAAGCGGAAUUCCUAGUGUAGCGGUGAAAUGCGUAGAUAUUAGGAGGAACACCAGUGGCGAAGGCGGCUUACUGGACUGUAACUGACGUUGAGGCUCGAAAGCGUGGGGAGCAAACAGGAUUAGAUACCCUGGUA
RNAcentral lists this ribosomal RNA (434 nucleotides) under uncultured Lachnospiraceae bacterium. Its description in RNAcentral is "partial 16S ribosomal RNA". It matches the Rfam family "Bacterial small subunit ribosomal RNA", at positions 341 to 792 of the family's 1533-position model. The record is from RNAcentral. Lineage: Bacteria; Bacillati; Bacillota; Clostridia; Lachnospirales; Lachnospiraceae.